This 71-nucleotide transfer RNA is filed under the name Acanthaphritis unoorum. Its description in RNAcentral is "tRNA-Ser(UCN)". It matches the Rfam family "tRNA". Rfam says of the family: Transfer RNA (tRNA) molecules are approximately 80 nucleotides in length. Their secondary structure includes four short double-helical elements and three loops (D, anti-codon, and T loops). The record is from RNAcentral. Lineage: Eukaryota; Metazoa; Chordata; Actinopteri; Pempheriformes; Percophidae.
AAGAAAGUGUCAGAGUGGCCAUGAGGUUGGCUUGAAACCAGUUUAUGGGGGUUCGAUUCCUCCCUUUCUCG